RNAcentral lists this small RNA (721 nucleotides) under Pongo abelii (Sumatran orangutan). RNAcentral describes it as "retained intron". Lineage: Eukaryota; Metazoa; Chordata; Mammalia; Primates; Hominidae. The record is from RNAcentral.
CCAUUUGUACGUGACUAGAAUUUAAUGUGCAGAGCUACUGUCUGCUGAUGACUUGGAGAAAUAAAGUAGAGUAGGAUGGGGAAGAUCGAUUUCUUUGUUCUGCCUGAAUUCUCUCACUAAAGUCAAAGUCUAGAUUUCAUGGAAUUCUCCCUGUUUCCUCUCCCUUCAGAGAGCAGAGCAACUCUCCAACACACUGAAAAAAAUUGCAGCCAGUGAGAAAUUUACAAACUUCAAUCUUUUCUACAUGGAUUUUGCCUUCCAUGAAAUCAUACAGGAGUGGCAGAAGAGAGGUGGACAGCCCUGGCAGCUCAUCGAGCCCGUGGAUGGAUUCCACCCCAAUGAGGUGGCUUUGCUGUUGUUGGCAGAUCAUUUCUGGGAAAAGGUGCAGCUCCAGUGGCCCCAAAUCCUGGGAAAGGAGAAUCCGUUCAACCCCCAGAUUAAACAGGUGUUUGGAGACCAAGGCGGGCACUGAGCCUCUCAGGAACACGCACCCCUGGGGAGCACAGGGAGGCAGAGGCUUGGGUAAACUCAUUCCACAAACCCUAUGGGGGCUGCUACAUCACAGGCCCAAAGGACUCUUCUUCAGCAGCAUCUUUGCAAAAUGUCUUUCUCUCAAUUAAGAGCAUAUCUGGAUGACUGUGCAAUGCUGUGUGCUCCUGGGAUCAGUCACCCUUCCAUUGUUCCUGAAAUAACCUUUAAUAAAGUGCUUUGGGUGCCAUUC